This 562-nucleotide long non-coding RNA is filed under the name Musa acuminata (dwarf banana). RNAcentral describes it as "long non-coding RNA (MACU_LNC000316)". Lineage: Eukaryota; Viridiplantae; Streptophyta; Magnoliopsida; Zingiberales; Musaceae. The record is from RNAcentral.
GCAGGCUAAUAAUACACCCCACCAUGGAAGCUGGAGCUGAUCGAUGUAGUACUCGCAUGCAAAGAUGGUAAGAGCAAUGUUGGCAAUAAGGACAGCAAUAAACCACCACUGGGGCACCUGGUCAUAUCUGCUCAUGAGUUUGGUAUGGAUAUCCAUCUUCUUCUCUUUGAAUGCUGACUUGCUCAUUUGCCAUAUUUCACUGUGUGCAUGGAGCAAAGUAGAUUAUAUGUUUGUACAAUGUCCUCACUUUCUCAUAAGUCGUAAACUAUUCCUUUGUUUUCUAUACAUCUUCAUACUCUAUCAUUCUUGUUAGGUUUGGUCACAACAUUUGGCUUUAAAUAUUUCAUUUGCAGAAAAUUGAUAUUAGAAAAGUUCUGCUUACUGGCUUGUGGGCAAUUUUGGUGGUGCCACAGAGAGGACUCGUACCUUCCGUGAAAGAGAAGAACAUGAGAAAUGGUAGCCGUGAGAGACGCAAAGCCGAUACCAUAAGUCACUGCAAAGAAUGUGCUCAAGUAGAGUGGACCAUUCUUUUCAUAGGCCAUAAUGUCAAGGUGGAAGUUGG